RNAcentral lists this ribosomal RNA (248 nucleotides) under uncultured bacterium. RNAcentral's name for it is "partial 16S ribosomal RNA". It matches the Rfam family "Bacterial small subunit ribosomal RNA", at positions 63 to 339 of the family's 1533-position model. The record is from RNAcentral.
CGAACGGCACCUUCGGGUGUAGUGGCGGACGGGUGAGUAACGCGUGGGAAUAUGCCCUUCUCUACGGAAUAGCCCAGGGAAACUUGGAGUAAUACCGUAUACGCCCUUCGGGGGAAAGAUUUAUCGGGGAAGGAUUAGCCCGCGUUGGAUUAGGUAGUUGGUGGGGUAAUGGCCUACCAAGCCGACGAUCCAUAGCUGGUUUGAGAGGAUGAUCAGCCACACUGGGACUGAGACACGGCCCAGACUCC